UGGCGGCGUGCCUUAUACAUGCAAGUCGAGCGUACGAUUCAAAAGCUUGCUUUUGGAUCGUUAGCGGCGGACGGGUGAGUAACACGUGGGCAACCUGCCCUGUAGACGGGGAUAACACCGAGAAAUCGGUGCUAAUACCGGAUAACACGGAAGACCGCAUGGUUUUUCGUUGAAAGGCGGCGCAAGCUGUCGCUACAGGAUGGGCCCGCGGCGCAUUAGCUAGUUGGUGAGGUAACGGCUCACCAAGGCGACGAUGCGUAGCCGACCUGAGAGGGUGAUCGGCCACACUGGGACUGAGACACGGCCCAGACUCCUACGGGAGGCAGCAGUAGGGAAUCUUCCGCAAUGGACGAAAGUCUGACGGAGCAACGCCGCGUGAGCGAAGAAGGCCUUCGGGUCGUAAAGCUCUGUUGUUAGGGAAGAACAAGUACCGCAGUCACUGGCGGUACCUUGACGGUACCUAACGAGAAAGCCACGGCUAACUACGUGCCAGCAGCCGCGGUAAUACGUAGGUGGCAAGCGUUGUCCGGAAUUAUUGGGCGUAAAGCGCGCGCAGGCGGUUCCUUAAGUCUGAUGUGAAAGCCCACGGCUCAACCGUGGAGGGUCAUUGGAAACUGGGGGACUUGAGUGCACAAGAGGAGAGCGGAAUUCCACGUGUAGCGGUGAAAUGCGUAGAGAUGUGGAGGAACACCAGUGGCGAAGGCGGCUCUCUGGUCUGUAACUGACGCUGAGGCGCGAAAGCGUGGG
Molecule: ribosomal RNA, 747 nt
Filed under: uncultured organism
Description: SSU rRNA
Rfam family: Bacterial small subunit ribosomal RNA
Source: RNAcentral